GAUGAACGCUAGCGGCAGGCUUAACACAUGCAAGUCGAGGGGUAUUGGUUUUCGGACCAAGAGACCGGCGCACGGGUGCGUAACGCGUAUGCAAUCUACCUUUUGCAGAGGGAUAGCCCCAGAGAAAUUUGGAUUAAUACCUCAUAGUAUGUGAGGAUGGCAUCAUUUUCACAUUAAAAGUCACAACGGCAAAAGAUGAGCAUGCGUCCCAUUAGCUAGUUGGUAAGGUAACGGCUUACCAAGGCUACGAUGGGUAGGGGUCCUGAGAGGGAGAUCCCCCACACUGGUACUGAGACACGGACCAGACUCCUACGGGAGGCAGCAGUGAGGAAUAUUGGACAAUGGGCGCAAGCCUGAUCCAGCCAUGCCGCGUGCAGGAUGACGGUCCUAUGGAUUGUAAACUGCUUUGUACAGGAAGAAACACUCCCUCGUGAGGGAGCUUGACGGUACUGUAAGAAUAAGGAUCGGGCUAACUCCGUG
RNAcentral lists this ribosomal RNA (480 nucleotides) under uncultured bacterium. Its description in RNAcentral is "bacterial SSU rRNA". It matches the Rfam family "Bacterial small subunit ribosomal RNA", at positions 28 to 507 of the family's 1533-position model. The record is from RNAcentral.